AUGAGCUCAAUGAGCAUAGCUCACUAAGCCCAAGCAAGCCUAUCCAUUUACCUUUGCUUAACAAAUUUAUCAUAUCAUGCAUACACACACACACACACCUUUUCCCGGGUGUGAACAUAGCCAAAACACAAUGGCAUUAUCGAUAAUAAUAUACAUGCACUAUACCAGUCAUGUAUUUAGCAAUUUACAUUGCAUGCACAUAUUCACAUUGUUAGAUUGUAUUCACACUACAAAAGGACCCAUGACUUCCAGCGGAGACAUUUACAAUAAAAAGGAUUACUAUCGAAUGCCAGACACAUACCCAAGAGAUGCACUACGGGGACUCCUCGAUCUAAGGUCCAACAGUCACCUGAUUUGAAAACAUGAAUUUUUUUUAAUAAAAUGUGAGUACAAUACUUAGUGAGUGAACAAGAUGGGAACAAGCAUACCAUAAGGAAUGUUUAUCGAAAUCAUGAUGCAUUCAUUUUCUCAAAACCAUGCAAUUGUUUUAGCUCCUUUAAACCCCUGAUGUAAACCCCACAUGAGUAAAUCACUUUACAAAAAUCCAUGCUCAACUAUGGUACCAAAGAAAUGAGAAAUAUGGCAAAAACCCACAAGUUAGCAAAAUG
RNAcentral lists this long non-coding RNA (608 nucleotides) under Theobroma cacao (cacao). Its description in RNAcentral is "long non-coding RNA (TCAC_LNC002343)". The record is from RNAcentral. Lineage: Eukaryota; Viridiplantae; Streptophyta; Magnoliopsida; Malvales; Malvaceae.